CAGCAGCCGCGGUAAUACGUAGGGAGCGAGCGUUAUCCGGAUUCAUUGGGCGUAAAGCGCGCGUAGGCGGCUCGGGAAGCGGAACCUCUAACCUUGGGGCUCAACCUCAAGCCGGGUUCCGAACUCCCGGGCUCGAGUCAGGUAGGGGCAGGCGGAAUUCCCGGUGUAGCGGUGAAAUGCGCAGAUAUCGGGAGGAACACCGAUGGCGAAGGCAGCCUGCUGGGCCUAAAGACUGACGCUGAGGUGCGAAAGCGUGGGGAGCGAACAGGAUUAGAUACCCUGGUAGUCCACGCCGUAAACGAUGGGCGCUAGGUGUGGGGGAGCGUAUCCCCCGUGCCGCAGCUAACGCAUUAAGCGCCCCGCCUGGGGAGUACGGCCGCAAGGCUAAAACUCAAAGGAAUUGACGGGGGCCCGCACAAGCAGCGGAGCAUGUGGCUUAAUUCGAAGCAACGCGAAGAACCUUACCAGGGCUUGACAUGCGCAUGAAGCGGCGGAGACGCCGUGGCCGAGAGGAGUGCGCGCAGGUGGUGCAUGGCC
This 537-nucleotide ribosomal RNA is filed under the name uncultured archaeon. RNAcentral's name for it is "bacterial SSU rRNA". It matches the Rfam family "Bacterial small subunit ribosomal RNA", at positions 509 to 1050 of the family's 1533-position model. The record is from RNAcentral.